GUAAAUAUAGUUUAAACAAAACUCUAGAUUGUGAAUCUAAUAAUGAAGACUCAAAUCCUUCUAUUUACC
RNAcentral lists this transfer RNA (69 nucleotides) under Microcebus myoxinus. RNAcentral describes it as "tRNA-His". It matches the Rfam family "tRNA". From Rfam's summary of the family: Transfer RNA (tRNA) molecules are approximately 80 nucleotides in length. Their secondary structure includes four short double-helical elements and three loops (D, anti-codon, and T loops). The record is from RNAcentral. Lineage: Eukaryota; Metazoa; Chordata; Mammalia; Primates; Cheirogaleidae.